RNAcentral lists this ribosomal RNA (465 nucleotides) under uncultured Klebsiella sp. Its description in RNAcentral is "bacterial SSU rRNA". It matches the Rfam family "Bacterial small subunit ribosomal RNA", at positions 338 to 795 of the family's 1533-position model. Lineage: Bacteria; Pseudomonadati; Pseudomonadota; Gammaproteobacteria; Enterobacterales; Enterobacteriaceae. The record is from RNAcentral.
CCUACGGGGGGCUGCAGUGGGGAAUAUUGCACAAUGGGCGCAAGCCUGAUGCAGCCAUGCCGCGUGUGUGAAGAAGGCCUUCGGGUUGUAAAGCACUUUCAGCGGGGAGGAAGGCGUUAAGGUUAAUAACCUUGGCGAUUGACGUUACCCGCAGAAGAGGCACCGGCUAACUCCGUGCCAGCAGCCGCGGUAAUACGGAGGGUGCAAGCGUUAAUCGGAAUUACUGGGCGUAAAGCGCACGCAGGCGGUCUGUCAAGUCGGAUGUGAAAUCCCCGGGCUCAACCUGGGAACUGCAUUCGAAACUGGCAGGCUAGAGUCUUGUAGAGGGGGGUAGAAUUCCAGGUGUAGCGGUGAAAUGCGUAGAGAUCUGGAGGAAUACCGGUGGCGAAGGCGGCCCCCUGGACAAAGACUGACGCUCAGGUGCGAAAGCGUGGGGAGCAAACAGGAUUAGAUACCCGAGUAGUC